RNAcentral lists this ribosomal RNA (460 nucleotides) under uncultured bacterium. Its description in RNAcentral is "partial 16S ribosomal RNA". It matches the Rfam family "Bacterial small subunit ribosomal RNA", at positions 338 to 795 of the family's 1533-position model. The record is from RNAcentral.
CCUACGGGUGGCAGCAGUGAGGAAUAUUGGUCAAUGGACGAGAGUCUGAACCAGCCAAGUCGCGUGAAGGAAGACUGCCCUAUGGGUUGUAAACCUCUUUUAUAAGGGAAUAAAACGAGGCAAGCGUGCCAUGAUGCAUGGACUUUAUGAAUGAGGAUCGGCUAACUCCGGGCCAGCAGCCGCGGUAAUACGGAGGAUCCGAGCGUUAUCCGGAUUUAUUGGGGGUAAAGGGAGCGUAGAUGGGUUGAUAAGUCAGUUGUGAAAGUUUGGGGCUCAACCGGAAGAGUGCAAUUGAUACUGGCAGUCUUGAGUACUGGAGGGGUAAGCGGAAUUCGUGGUGUAGCGGUGAAAUGCGUAGAUAUCACGAGGAACACCGGUGGCGAAGGCGGCUUACUGGACUGCGACUGACGUUGAGGCUCGAAAGUGUGGGGAUCGAACAGGAUUAGAUACCCUUGUAGUC